AGGUUUCCUACGCAAGGUCAAUCCGCGUAGGGUUAGUCGGGCCUAAGCCGAACCCCAAGGGGAUAGGCGAUGGACAAUGGGUCAACAUUCCCAUACCAUCUAAUCCUUGUUUUAAGGCAAAGGGGGGACACAGGAGGAUAGGUUGAGCGUACCUAAUGGACAUGGUGCGUCCCCAAUCUGAGGCAUGUUGAGGUAGGCAAAUCCGCUUCAACGAUAAGCUGAGGAGCGGGGAAAAUUGAGGGGAAACCCGAGAUGAUUCAACUGAGUCCACGCUGUCCAGAAAAGCCUCGUUGCUAAAUGAUUAGAUGCCCGUACCGCAAACCGACACAGGUAGAUGGGGGUAAGUAUCCCAAGGUGUUCGAGAGAACCCUCGUUAAGGAACUCGGCAAUUUAACCCCGUAACUUUGGAAGAAGGGGGCCCGCUUAAAGGCGGGGGCACGAAACCGGCCCAAGCGACUGUAUAACAUAAACACAGGUCUCUGCCAAAGCGAAAGCUGAGGUAUAGGGGCUGAUACCUGCCCAGUGCCGGAAGGUUAAGGAGAGAGGUUAGGGUUUUUACCCGAAGCUUUGAACCGAAGCCCCGGUGAACGGCGGCCGUAACUAUAACGGUCCUAAGGUAGCGAAAUCCCUUGUCGGGUAAGUUCCGACCCGCACGAAAGGUGUAACGACUUGGGCGCUGUCUCAACGAGGGACUCGGCGAAAUUGAAAUACCCGUGAAGAUGCGGGUUACCCACAACCGGACAAAAAGACCCCGGGAGCUUUACUAUAUCCUGGUAUUGGACUCGAGCUGGACAUGUGUAGGAUAGGUGGGAGGCUGUGAAGCUGAGGCGUAAGCUUCAGUGGAGCCAACGGUGAAAUACCACUCUUGUCUGGUUUUGGUUCUAACCUGCCUUCGGGUGGGAACAGUGCCAGGUGGGUAGUUUAACUGGGGCGGUUGCCUCCCAAAAGGUAACGGAGGCGUCCAAAGGUCCCCUCAGCACGGAUGGAAAUCGUGCAUCGAGUGUAUUGGUAUAAGGGGGCUUGACUGCGAGACCAACAAGUCGAGCAGAGACGAAAGUCGGGCAAAGUGAUCCUACGGUUCCGUGUGGAA
RNAcentral lists this ribosomal RNA (1090 nucleotides) under Chloroflexota bacterium. RNAcentral describes it as "Chloroflexi bacterium (freshwater metagenome) partial 23S ribosomal RNA". It matches the Rfam family "Bacterial large subunit ribosomal RNA", at positions 1348 to 2438 of the family's 2925-position model. The record is from RNAcentral. Lineage: Bacteria; Bacillati; Chloroflexota.